GGGGAAACCCAGUGCAAUCCGUUGCACUAUCGUUAACUGAAUACAUAGGUUAACGAGGCGAACCGGGGGAACUGAAACAUCUAAGUACCCCGAGGAAAAGAAAUCAACCGAGAUUCCCCCAGUAGCGGCGAGCGAACGGGGAGCAGCCCGGAGUCUGAAUCAGCUUGUGUGUUAGUGGAACGGUCUGGAAAGUCCGACGGUACAGGGUGAUAGUCCCGUACACGAAAGCACACAUGCUGUGAACUCGAAGAGUAGGGCGGGACACGUGGUAUCCUGUCUGAAUAUGGGGGGACCAUCCUCCAAGGCUAAAUACUCCUGACUGACCGAUAGUGAACCAGUACCGUGAGGGAAAGGCGAAAAGAACCCCGGCGAGGGGAGUGAAAAAGAACCUGAAACCGUGUACGUACAAGCAGUGGGAGCCUCUUUAUGGGGUGACUGCGUACCUUUUGUAUAAUGGGUCAGCGACUUAUAUUCUGUAGCAAGGUUAACCGUAUAGGGGAGCCGAAGGGAAACCGAGUCUUAACUGGGCGUUAAGUUGCAGGGUAUAGACCCGAAACCCGGUGAUCUAGCCAUGGGCAGGUUGAAGGUUGGGUAACACUAACUGGAGGACCGAACCGACUAAUGUUGAAAAAUUAGCGGAUGACCUGUGGCUGGGGGUGAAAGGCCAAUCAAACCGGGAGAUAGCUGGUUCUCCCCGAAAGCUAUUUAGGUAGCGCCUCGUGAACUCAUCUUCGGGGGUAGAGCACUGUUUCGGCUAGGGGGCCAUCCCGGCUUACCAACCCGAUGCAAACUACGAAUACCGAAGAAUGUUAUCACGGGAGACACACGGCGGGUGCUAACGUCCGUCGUGAAGAGGGAAACAACCCAGACCGCCAGCUAAGGUCCCAAAGUCAUGGUUAAGUGGGAAACGAUGUGGGAAGGCACAGACAGCCAGGAUGUUGGCUUAGAAGCAGCCAUCAUUUAAAGAAAGCGUAAUAGCUCACUGGUCGAGUCGGCCUGCGCGGAAGAUGUAACGGGGCUAAACCAUG
This 1028-nucleotide ribosomal RNA is filed under the name Enterobacter hormaechei. RNAcentral's name for it is "partial 23S ribosomal RNA". It matches the Rfam family "Bacterial large subunit ribosomal RNA", at positions 120 to 1191 of the family's 2925-position model. Lineage: Bacteria; Pseudomonadati; Pseudomonadota; Gammaproteobacteria; Enterobacterales; Enterobacteriaceae. The record is from RNAcentral.